Molecule: ribosomal RNA, 1097 nt
Filed under: uncultured organism
Description: bacterial SSU rRNA
Rfam family: Bacterial small subunit ribosomal RNA
Source: RNAcentral
GGAUGAUCCCCCACACUGGUACUGAGACACGGACCAGACUCCUACGGGAGGCAGCAGUGAGGAAUAUUGGUCAAUGGGCGAAAGCCUGAACCAGCCAUGCCGCGUGCAGGAUGACGGCCCUAUGGGUUGUAAACUGCUUUUCUGCUCCAAGAACCCCACUUACGUGUAAGUGAUUGACGGUAGAGCAGGAAUAAGCAUCGGCUAACUCCGUGCCAGCAGCCGCGGUAAUACGGAGGAUGCAAGCGUUAUCCGGAUUUAUUGGGUUUAAAGGGUGCGCAGGCGGAUUAAUAAGUCAGUAGUGAAAUCCUGCAGCUUAACUGUAGAAUUGCUAUUGAUACUGUUAAUCUUGAGUACAGUUGAGGUAGGCGGAAUGUAUGAUGUAGCGGUGAAAUGCUUAGAUAUCAUACAGAACACCAAUUGCGAAGGCAGCUUACUAAACUGUAACUGACGCUGAGGCACGAAAGCGUGGGGAGCGAACAGGAUUAGAUACCCUGGUAGUCCACGCUGUAAACGAUGAUCACUCGCUGUUGGCAAUACAUCGUCAGUGGCUGAGCAAAAGCAUUAAGUGAUCCACCUGGGGAGUACGUCGGCAACGAUGAAACUCAAAGGAAUUGACGGGGGCCCGCACAAGCGGUGGAACAUGUGGUUUAAUUCGAUGAUACGCGAGGAACCUUACCUGGGCUUAAAUGCAGAACGACGGUUCCCGAAAGGGAUCCUUCUUCGGACGGACUGCAAGGUGCUGCAUGGUUGUCGUCAGCUCGUGCCGUGAGGUGUCGGGUUAAGUCCCAUAACGAGCGCAACCCCUAUUGUUAGUUGCCAGCGAGUAAUGUCGGGGACUCUAACGAAACUGCCGGUGUAAACCGUGAGGAAGGUGGGGAUGACGUCAAAUCAGCACGGCCCUUAUGUCCAGGGCUACACACGUGUUACAAUGGUCGGUACAGAGGGCAGCUACUUGGCGACAAGUUGCAAAUCUCUAAAACCGGCCUUAGUUCGGAUUGAAGUCUGCAACUCGACUUCAUGAAGCUGGAAUCGCUAGUAAUCGCGCAUCAGCCAUGGCGCGGUGAAUACGUUCCCGGGCUUUGUACACACCGCCCGUC